CUCUUAUCUUCCUCCAUCACCUGAGCUGUUGCAGUUCACUGUGGAUUAAGAAUCGCCCACCAGAGGGGAGAAGUUGGAACAGGUUGUGUUUUCUGACUCUAGACAUGCACAAGUCCUGAAUGGAGGGCAGGCCGGCACCAAUGAUUCUCUGCAGUCCUGACAAUCCAGAGAGACUCAACCUUCCUGCAGUACAUCCAUGUUUUCCUUGACAUAAAAUGAGAAAUUCUUCCACCUAGUCAGAGGGCUGACUGACAAGAUGGAGAGCA
Long non-coding RNA from Dicentrarchus labrax (European seabass), 266 nucleotides. RefSeq lists it as uncharacterized. The record is from RefSeq and is a predicted model, not a curated record. Lineage: Eukaryota; Metazoa; Chordata; Actinopteri; Moronidae. The transcript is spliced from 3 exons.